AACAACGGUCUUGCCAAGAAGGGCUUCGGUCACGUGCAGUCUAUUCACUGCAAGAACUGUGCCCGAUGCGUGCCCAAGGAUAAGGCCAUUGAGAAAUUCAUCAUUUGACUCUGUCUCAAAAAAAAUAAAAAAAAUUUGUCAUUUGAAACAUAGUGGAGGCUGCAGCAAUCAGGGACAUUUCUGAAGCAAGCGUCUUCGAUACCUAUGUGCUUCCCAAGCUGAAUGUGAAGCUACAUUACUGUGUGAGUUGUGCAAUUCACAGCAAAGUAGUCAGGAAUUAAUCUCAUGACACCAGCAAG
This 299-nucleotide long non-coding RNA is filed under the name Homo sapiens (human). RNAcentral's name for it is "non-protein coding lnc-HSPA8-1:1". The record is from RNAcentral. Lineage: Eukaryota; Metazoa; Chordata; Mammalia; Primates; Hominidae.